ACUCCGAACCGCUAGAUGGCAGCUGCAGUACACAAACACGUGGCCAAAUCUCGCGAGAAAGACUUCCGCUGUUUGAAAAUCAACAACACCAGCGAGCAGCCAGGGGGAAAGCAAUCUACCACACUCGUUUGGUCGUGUGUCAAAGCUGUGCGAAACUGGAGGGAGAAACUUGAGAGACCGUGCCGGAAGAAUGCUGGACAGAGUUCCCUAAAAUUAAUUAAUUUCAAAGUUCAACAUGAAUGGUGGUGGUCCACUGCAGAAGCAAGCAUUUGAAAAAACAUCAGUUCUCAGUUAUUAAAGAUGCUGUGUUGAACAACUUUCCAGCAGCAACAGAACUGGAAGUGAAGGAUGCAAUGGGGGGCAUUUCAAACAGGCACCAGGGAGGACGUGGUGUAUAGAAAUUAGUCCAAUUAAUAAGUUGAAGUGUUAUUUAUUUAUUUUGUUACUGUUUUUAUUCUUUUUGUUAAAAGUAGUUUUUCUUCAUUUUGUCUUAUCUGAAUUUCUAUUGUAUUAACAAUAUUUUUGUAAUAAAUUGCAUGAUUACAUGUUUAUGAGAAUCUUUUUUAAUGGAUUAAAAAGAAUUCUUUAGCCAUUCUUUUGUUGUUUAUUAGACACACACGUGUAGUCAUUUAAUAGCCGUCUAUUUAACGGCUAGUCUAUUCUUGGGCUAUGAUAGACGUCUACUAGAUUUUCACUGACAGCCCAAAAUUAGCCUUUUAUUAGCCUAGACCCACAUUCACCGUCUAUUAGACGUAUAUAUGUAGACGUUUAGUAGCCGUCUAUUUGAUGACUAGUCUAUUCUUGGGCUAUGAUAGACGUCUACUAGAUUUUCACUGACAGCCCAAAAUUAGCCUUGUUUUAGCCUAGACGUCAGGGGGGUGUUUAGACGGCUACUAGACGUCUAUUAGCCGCAAAAUUGCUUGCUGG
Molecule: non-coding RNA, 927 nt
Organism: Misgurnus anguillicaudatus (oriental weatherfish)
Lineage: Eukaryota; Metazoa; Chordata; Actinopteri; Cypriniformes; Cobitidae
Source: RefSeq, a predicted model, not a curated record